RNAcentral lists this ribosomal RNA (524 nucleotides) under uncultured bacterium. RNAcentral describes it as "partial 16S ribosomal RNA". It matches the Rfam family "Bacterial small subunit ribosomal RNA", at positions 28 to 523 of the family's 1533-position model. The record is from RNAcentral.
GAUGAACGCUGGCGGCAUGCCUAAUACAUGCAAGUCGAACGAAGCUGUUUUAACUGGUGCUUGCACCGACUUAAACAACUGAGUGGCGAACGGGUGAGUAACACGUGGGUAACCUGCCCCAAAGCGGGGGAUAACAUUUGGAAACAGAUGCUAAUACCGCAUAACCACAGAAACCACAUGGUUUCUGUGUCAAAGAUGGUUUCGGCUAUCACUUUGGGAUGGACCCGCGGCGUAUUAGCUAGUUGGUAAGGUAAUGGCUUACCAAGGCAAUGAUACGUAGCCGAACUGAGAGGUUGGUCGGCCACAUUGGGACUGAGACACGGCCCAAACUCCUACGGGAGGCAGCAGUAGGGAAUCUUCCACAAUGGACGAAAGUCUGAUGGAGCAACGCCGCGUGAGUGAAGAAGGUUUUCGGAUCGUAAAACUCUGUUGUCAGAGAAAAACGUGUGCGAGAGUAACUGCUCGUGCAGUGACGGUAUCUGGCCAGAAAGCCACGGCUAACUACGUGCCAGCCGCCGCGGUAA